Molecule: ribosomal RNA, 253 nt
Filed under: uncultured bacterium
Lineage: Bacteria
Description: partial 16S ribosomal RNA
Rfam family: Bacterial small subunit ribosomal RNA
Source: RNAcentral
UACGUAGGGUGCGAGCGUUAAUCGGAAUUACUGGGCGUAAAGGGCUCGUAGGCGGUUCGUACAGUCAGACGUGAAAUUCCUGGGCUCAACCUGGGGGCUGCGUUUGAUACGUGCGGACUUGAGUGCGGAAGAGGGUCGUGGAAUUCCCAGUGUAGAGGUGAAAUUCGUAGAUAUUGGGAAGAACACCGGUGGCGAAGGCGGCGACCUGGUCCGAUACUGACGCUGAGGCGCGAAAGCGUGGGGAGCAAACAGG